Molecule: ribosomal RNA, 468 nt
Filed under: uncultured bacterium
Lineage: Bacteria
Description: partial 16S ribosomal RNA
Rfam family: Bacterial small subunit ribosomal RNA
Source: RNAcentral
GACGAACGCUGGCGGCGGGCUUAACACAUGCAAGUCGAACGGAAAGGCCCUGCUUUUGUGGGGUGCUCGAGUGGCGAACGGGUGAGUAACACGUGAGUAACCUGCCCUUGACUUUGGGAUAACUUCAGGAAACUGGGGCUAAUACCGGAUAGGAGCUCCUGCUGCAUGGUGGGGGGUGGAAAUUUUCGGCGGUUGGGGAUGGACUCGCGGCUUAUCAGCUUGUUGGUGGGGGAGUGGCUUACCAAGGCUUUGACGGGUAGCCGGCCUGAGAGGGUGAACGGCCACCAUGGGACUGAGAUACGGAGCAGACUCCUACGGGGGGCAGCAGUGGGGAAUAUUGCCCAAUGAGCGGAAGCCUGAUGCAGCAACGCCGCGUUCGGGAUGACGGCCUUCGGGGUGUAAACCGCUUUCGCCUGUGACGAAGCGUGAGUGACGGUAAUGGGUAAAGAAGCACCGGCUAACUACGUG